RNAcentral lists this ribosomal RNA (114 nucleotides) under uncultured bacterium. RNAcentral's name for it is "partial 16S ribosomal RNA". It matches the Rfam family "Bacterial small subunit ribosomal RNA", at positions 1369 to 1482 of the family's 1533-position model. The record is from RNAcentral.
CGUUCCCGGGUCUUGUACACACCGCCCGUCACACCAUGGGAGCGGGAUGUACCAGAAGUAGGUAGGCUAACCGCAAGGGGGCCGCUUACCACGGUGCGUUUCGUGACCGGGGUG